RNAcentral lists this long non-coding RNA (217 nucleotides) under Numida meleagris (helmeted guineafowl). RNAcentral's name for it is "lncRNA (ENSNMEG00000019456.1)". The record is from RNAcentral. Lineage: Eukaryota; Metazoa; Chordata; Aves; Galliformes; Numididae.
AGUGGGCCCAUGGACAUUACUCCAUGGACUGAGAGUGGCUGCAGCGGGCAGAGGGCUGGGUGUGUUAGAUGGCAGUUAACAUCAGAUGGUCACCUCCCUAAGAAGUCUUUAUGCUUACAGGUCUGCAAAGUGCCAUAUCCAGACCGGGACCCCCACUCUUAUUAACUCAUCCAGAGAUCUCAGCAUCCAUUAAAGCACACCGAUAUCUUUAUUAAAG